RNAcentral lists this ribosomal RNA (500 nucleotides) under uncultured bacterium. RNAcentral describes it as "bacterial SSU rRNA". It matches the Rfam family "Bacterial small subunit ribosomal RNA", at positions 899 to 1397 of the family's 1533-position model. The record is from RNAcentral.
ACUCAAAGGAAUAGACGGGGACCCGCACAAGCAGCGGAGCAUGUGGUUUAAUUCGAAGCUACGCGAAAAACCUUACCAAGACUUGACAUCGCCUGCAUAACCGCGAAAUCGGUGAAAGUAUAGCAAUAUAUCAGGUAGACAGAUGGUGCAUGGUUGUCGUCAGCUCGUGUCGUGAGAUGUUCGGUUAAGUCCGUCAACGAGCGCAACCCCUGUUUUCAGUUGCCAGCAUUAAGUUGGGCACUCUGGAGAGACUGCCGUGGUUAACACGGAGGAAGGUGGGGAUGAUGUCAAAUCAUCAUGCCUCUUACGUCUUGGGCUACACACGUGCUACAAUGGCCGCUACAAAGAGUCGCAAUAUGGUAACAUGGAGCCAAUCUCAAAAAAGCGGUCUCAAUUCGGAUUGAGGGCUGAAACCCGCCCUCAUGAAGUCGGAGUUGCUAGUAAUCCCAAAUCAGCAUGUUGGGGUGAAUGCGUUCCCGGGUCUUGCACACACCGCCCGU